RNAcentral lists this long non-coding RNA (2869 nucleotides) under Ananas comosus (pineapple). RNAcentral's name for it is "long non-coding RNA (ACOM_LNC034389)". Lineage: Eukaryota; Viridiplantae; Streptophyta; Magnoliopsida; Poales; Bromeliaceae. The record is from RNAcentral.
CGGUACAUGCCGGGGCACGCUGGUGCGUGCUGCUUUGUCUCGAGCGGCACGCAACAGCAUUCCGCGAGACGCAGGGGAUGGGAGGUGCGAUGAUCCCCCCCCCCGCGCGACCAAGCCCCCUCUUGAGGGCACUGUACGGCACGGCCCGUGCCGUACGGCACGGAGCGACAUUAACCUUGGUUAGUACUCUGUGAUUUUAUUUUGUAUCAAGUUGUACCCUAUGGUUUAUUUUGUAUUAAGUUAUGUACUCUACGAUUUUUAAACACAAGGUACUAAGUGAGAAAGUGUGAAACCAUACGGAUACUAAAGUGAGAAAAUGCGAAAACCAUAUGGUACUAACUUGAUACAUUUAAACCACAGGGUACUAAAAAAAAAGUGCAAAAUCACAUAAUCUAACUUGAUAUUAUUAAAUACUUGCUAUUAAGAUAAGAAAAAGUAAAUCACAUGCGAGUGUUUGAAGUUUUCUAAUCAAGUAUUAUUCAAAACGUCAUUUAAAAAAUAUUUUUUGUAAUGGCCCGCAGUUUUGGAACUGAACAUAAAUAUUUAACAAUGCAAGAUGACUUACCUCUGAGUUCAUCAAGUAUAAUAAUAUUCGUACGGCCGGGUUUAUUUGUUUUUUUCCUGCUAUAUUAUGCGUCCCUUGGGCACAAAACACGAGGACAUCAUGUAUCGUCGUCGUUUCCGUUUCUUCAUGAUGAUGAUGUAGAUAAUAUAAUAAUAAUAUAAUCAUAUAAUAAAAAGCUCGAAAACCAUGCACUAUGAAAGAGUCAAAAAUUAAAAGGAGAAAAGAACCGUCUCAAAGCGAUUAGACCUUUUGCGCCUAUCGCAAAUGCUUGCUCUCACCAAUUUGCUUUUCUCUCUCUCUCUCUCUCUCUCUCUCUCUCCUUUUAGUUAGUGUCGUGUGGCUUUUGUGUUCUUCCUCUUCUUGUGUGGAUGAGGAUGUUAUUAUUAUAGAAAAAUUCUAAUUUCAUGAAUGCCCUUCAAAAUUUUAAAAUUUUAUAUUUGCCCUCUAAAAGUAUGAAAAAACUUCAAAAGUAUCCCUACUGCUAGCAAUAUGUUAUAUUAGCUUCAAAAUACCAAUUUUAACCUCUAUUUUAAUUUAAUCACCACUCUCACAAAUUUUUUUUUGAAUAUAUGGAGACCCCCUCAAUUACCAUCCAUUGUGAAAUAGCCUCCUAAAUUUAACUUUUUAAUUAAAGUCUUCUUAAAUUUUAUUUUCUUAAAUUGAAUGAUUUUUUUUAUUCAAUUAGAGAUUUUAUCUAAUCGAUUAAUGAUUCAAACAAAUUUAAUAAUUUUAAUAACUUCGUAGUAUAUAAAAUUAAAUAAGUUUCUGUUCAAAAAAGAAAUUAAUAAAAACUUCAAGGAUUUACUUAAAUGACAUAUAGUUGAUAGUUUUAGUAUAAAUAUCAAAAAAUAAGUGAAAACAGCUUGGUUUUUAAACAAAAAGUGAACAAAUUAAAGGUAAAAUGGUAAUUUUAUAUUUUGAAAUAAAAUAAAAAAAUGUUAUGUUAACGGAAGUUGGUAAAAAUAACGGUGAGAUGAAAAAAAUAUUAUAUUUAGAGGGAUAUUUGUAAAAUUUAAAAAAUUAAAAGAAUAUUUAUGAUAUUACAUAAUUUUGUGAGGGUAUAAAUAAAAUUAACCCUAUUAUUAUUAUUAUUAUUAUUAUUAUUAUUAUUAGUAUUAUUUUUCUAGAUGAGGAUUCCACAUAGGAGGCAUAAAUGGGGGAGGGGGCCGGGGUUGAUUGGAUUUAAUGCAACGGGAAACGAACCUGCGUUUGUUUGCGUGGCUGGAAAGAGAAGACCGACCGACCGACCGAUCCAUGCGUACGUCUCUGACUUCCCAAUCCAAAGAGAUUGAGUCCGCUGCCUGCUGGACUACUGAUUUGAUGCAUGACGCCCAUGAUUCGCAUUUUUGACAGUCUGAACUUCCGUUCCUUACUUAUCUUGUCUUCCAAGGGCAGCUGUGACAUCCGCAGAAGCGCCGAAAGCCGGACGAGACAUAUCUAACGUUAAUAGAUAAAAUAAAAUUAAAAUUAAAAAGUCGACACACACACACACACACACGUACAAAUCAAGUUACUGGGUAAGAACAAAUUUAAAAGAGAUGCGUGCAUAUAUAGAUGACGACUAUAUAAGUAUGUGCCAAAAUAAAGUCGGUUCGGGUGAUGGAUUUUCGGCAGAAGAACUCUAUCACGGCAUUGUCAAAUAAAAGGAAUUAAGUUUUGAUAUUUCUGCUACGGUGAGGAAUAGGUUGGCCCAGAUUGCGUUAAUUUGAAGUUAUAAGAAAUUUGAUAUUCGAGUGGUUGUGCACUGAAGAGAUCAUAGAUUUAAUCUCUUACUCCUUUCGAAAACAUAGAUUUAACUUUUAUUUAUAUAACUAAAAUUAAUUAUUAUGCUAGGCAUCACAUGGAAUUAAAACUAGUAUUUUAUAUUUGUAGACUCUCUCUNUGUACCGUGCCCCCUUCUUGAGGGCACGGUACGGCACGCCCCGUGCCGUACGGCACGGAGUGACACUUAAAACCUUGGUUAGUACUCUGUGAUUUUGUUUUUGUAUCAAGUUAGUACCCUGUGGUUUAUUUUUAUAUCAAGUUAGUACUCUAUAAUUUUUAAACCACAAGGUACUAAAGUGAGAAAGUGUGAAACCAUACGGUACUAAAGUGAGAAAGUGCGAAACCAUAUGGUACUAACUUGAUACACUUUAAACCACAGGGUACUAAAAUAAAAAGUGCAAAACCACAUAGUACUAACUUGAUAAUACAUUAAACCACAUGCUAUUAAAGUAAGAAAAAGUAAAAUCACAUGCGAGUAUUCGAAGUUUUUCUAAUAAAAUAUUAUUCAAAAACGUCAUUUAAAAAAUAUUUUAUUGUAAU